GACGAACCGUGCGAACGUUAUUCGGAAUCACUGGGCUUAAAGCGCGUGUAGGCGGCCCGGCACGUCCGUCGCUGAAAUCCCCCGGCUCAACCGGGGAAGUGGCGUGGAUACGACCGGGCUGGAGGGGGGUAGGGGGAGCCGGAACUUCCGGCGGAGCGGUGAAAUGCGUAGAGAUCCGGAGGAACACCAGUGGCGAAGGCGACACGCUGGGCCGUACCUGACACUGAUGCGCGACAGCAUGGGGAGCAAACAGG
RNAcentral lists this ribosomal RNA (254 nucleotides) under uncultured bacterium. RNAcentral describes it as "partial 16S ribosomal RNA". It matches the Rfam family "Bacterial small subunit ribosomal RNA", at positions 524 to 776 of the family's 1533-position model. The record is from RNAcentral.